This 383-nucleotide ribosomal RNA is filed under the name uncultured bacterium. RNAcentral describes it as "bacterial SSU rRNA". It matches the Rfam family "Bacterial small subunit ribosomal RNA", at positions 30 to 414 of the family's 1533-position model. The record is from RNAcentral.
AGUGAACGCUGGCGGCAGGCCUAACACAUGCAAGUCGAGCGGCAGCGCGGGGCAACCUGGCGGCGAGCGGCUGACGGGUGAGGAAUGCAUCGGAAUCUACCCUGUCGUGGGGGAUAACGUAGGGAAACUUACGCUAAUACCGCAUACGACCGAGAGGUGAAAGUGGGGGACCGCAAGGCCUCACGCGAUUGGAUGAGCCGAUGCCGGAUUAGCUAGUUGGUGGGGUAAAGGCCCACCAAGGCGACGAUCCGUAGCUGGUCUGAGAGGAUGAUCAGCCACACUGGGACUGAGACACGGCCCAGACUCCUACGGGAGGCAGCAGUGGGGCAAUAUUGGACAAUGGGCGCAAGCCUGAUCCAGCCAUGCCGCGUGUGUGAAGAAGG